Long non-coding RNA from Felis catus (domestic cat), 1251 nucleotides. RefSeq lists it as uncharacterized. The transcript is spliced from 2 exons. Lineage: Eukaryota; Metazoa; Chordata; Mammalia; Carnivora; Felidae. The record is from RefSeq and is a predicted model, not a curated record.
GGCAACCUGUAGAAAGUCCACCAGUCUUUACUAUCUCAGAACGUGUUUGCAGCCCACUUUGAUGUUUGCACGUAAAAUCAACAACUCGCAACAGCUACCUGUAUUUUCUCUUUAAAAAUACCGUUGACCCUGGCACAACCGUGGGUUUGACGUAUGUGGGUCCCCAUAUAUGUGAAUUUUUCACCGUUCCCGUAAAUGGAUUUUCUGCUCCUUGUGAUUUUCUUAGUAAUGCUUUCUUUCCUCGAACUGCCUUUAUUGUAAGAAUACAGUAUACGAUACAUAUAACACACAAAAUACGUAUUAAUUGACUGUUGACGUUAUGGGUAAGGCUUUCAGUCAACAGUAGGCUAUUAAUAAAGCUUUGGGGCAUCAGAAGUUAUCCGUGGAUUUUUAACCACACAGGGGUCGGUGCCCCUAACCCCCGCCUUGUUCAAGGGUCAGUUGUACGUGGAAAUAGCAAGAGGGAUAAAAAUAUCAGGAUAUACAUUUUCAUCCAUUAACUCUUUUUUGUUGUUGAACAUCGAAUUACUAAAUUAAAAUUAUUACUAUUAUUUGGAACAGACACCACAAGCUGGUGGCACCAGAUUCGGAAGGCACAACGGGGUAAGCAAGGGGACGUGAGUCUUUGGGGACCCCUGCUCUUCCAGUCAGAUCCCCUCCCGGAGGCCCCGCUGGCUUUGGGAGGUUUCUUGGGCCCCUUUACACAGAUGUUCUCUGAACUCCCUGCACCGAGUGGAUCUCAUUCCUGCUUCUCUCUCCGACCCCCCUCCCCACCUCUCUACUUCAACUUCCAGCUCUCUUCCCCUCCCUCCCUUUCAUCUUUGUUUCCUGUUUUCCUUCCAAAAAUGCUAGUCCAGAGUCGCCUGGGUGGCUCAGUCCAUUGAGCGACUGACUUGGGCUCAGGUCAUGAUCUUGCAGCUCGUGAGUUCGACCCCCACGUCAGGCUGUGUGCUGACAGCUCAGUUGUACUGCAACUGGACGAUAUAGCUUGUGUCUUCGUAUGGUACACAACACAGCCACCGAUGGAUGAACUACUGACAGAAGCUUGCCCAUAAUGUACCUUUCGUCAUGCAUGUUUCAUCCCGCUGAUGAGCACCUCGAACAUACUGCUUUUGAAGUUUCUUCUGCCUGCCUUUUGUGGGUAGGCAAAAAUUGAUGUCAUGUGAAAAAUUAAGCAACUUGACACUGUCCUGCCUUUCGAACCCAGAUUUUUUUUCUAAUUUUUUUUUAUAUUAAAUAUAAUGUAUUGUC